Molecule: ribosomal RNA, 477 nt
Filed under: Lactobacillus sp. DumLac35
Lineage: Bacteria; Bacillati; Bacillota; Bacilli; Lactobacillales; Lactobacillaceae
Description: bacterial SSU rRNA
Rfam family: Bacterial small subunit ribosomal RNA
Source: RNAcentral
ACAGAUUUACUUCGUAAUGACGUUGGGAAAGCGAGCGGCGGAUGGGUGAGUAACACGUGGGGAACCUGCCCCUAAGUCUGGGAUACCAUUUGGAAACAGGUGCUAAUACCGGAUAAUAAAGCAGAUCGCAUGAUCAGCUUUUGAAAGGCGGCGUAAGCUGUCGCUAAGGGAUGGCCCCGCGGUGCAUUAGCUAGUUGGUAAGGUAACGGCUUACCAAGGCGACGAUGCAUAGCCGAGUUGAGAGACUGAUCGGCCACAUUGGGACUGAGACACGGCCCAAAACUCCCUUAACCGGGAGGCAGCAGUAGGGAAUCUUCCACAAUGGACGCAAGUCUGAUGGAGCAACGCCGCGUGAGUGAAGAAGGUUUUCGGAUCGUAAAGCUCUGUUGUUGGUGAAGAAGAUAAGGUAGUAACUGGCCUUUAUUUGACGGUAAUCAGACCGAAAGUCACGGCUAACUACGUGCCAGCAGCCGCGGU